CUCAUUAAAUCAGUUAUCGUUUAUUUGAUAGUACCUUACUACUUGGAUAACCGUGGUAAUUCUAGAGCUAAUACAUGCUAAAAACCCCGACUUCGGAAGGGGUGUAUUUAUUAGAUAAAAAACCAAUGCCCUUCGGGGCUCCUUGGUGAUUCAUGAUAACUUAACGAAUCGCAUGGCCUUGCGCCGGCGAUGGUUCAUUCAAAUUUCUGCCCUAUCAACUUUCGAUGGUAGGAUAGUGGCCUACCAUGGUAUCAACGGGUAACGGGGAAUUAGGGUUCUAUUCCGGAGAGGGAGCCUGAGAAACGGCUACCACAUCCAAGGAAGGCAGCAGGCGCGCAAAUUACCCAAUCCCGACACGGGGAGGUAGUGACAAUAAAUACUGAUACAGGGCUCUUUUGGGUCUUGUAAUUGGAAUGAGUACAAUUUAAAUACCUUAACGAGGAACAAUUGGAGGGCAAGUCUGGUGCCAGCAGCCGCGGUAAUUCCAGCUCCAAUAGCGUAUAUUAAAGUUGUUGCAGUUAAAAAGCUCGUAGUUGAACCUUGGGCCUGGCUGGCCGGUCCGCCUCACCGCGUGUACUGGUCCGGCCGGGCCUUUCCUUCUGGGGAUCCCCAUGCCCUUCACUGGGUGUGGUGGGGAACCAGGACUUUUACUUUGAAAAAAUUAGAGUGUUCAAAGCAGGCCUUUGCUCGAAUACAUUAGCAUGGAAUAAUAGAAUAGGACGUGCGGUCCUAUUUUGUUGGUUUCUAGGACCGCCGUAAUGAUUAAUAGGGAUAGUCGGGGGCAUCAGUAUUCAAUUGUCAGAGGUGAAAUUCUUGGAUUUAUUGAAGACUAACUACUGCGAAAGCAUUUGCCAAGGAUGUUUUCAUUAAUCAGUGAACGAAAGUUAGGGGAUCGAAGACGAUCAGAUACCGUCGUAGUCUUAACCGUAAACUAUGCCGACUAGGGAUCGGGCGAUGUUAUUAUUUUGACUCGCUCGGCACCUUACGAGAAAUCAAAGUCU
Molecule: ribosomal RNA, 1001 nt
Filed under: Kellermania uniseptata
Lineage: Eukaryota; Fungi; Ascomycota; Dothideomycetes; Botryosphaeriales; Planistromellaceae
Also listed under: 3 other names
Description: SSU rRNA
Rfam family: Eukaryotic small subunit ribosomal RNA
Source: RNAcentral